UCCGGUUUGGCACCGGCAGUCUCCCUAGAGUGCCCGCCAUUACGCGCUGGCAACAUAGAACGAGGGUUGCGCUCGUUGCGGGACUUAACCCAACAUCUCACGACACGAGCUGACGACAACCAUGCACCACCUGUAUACCGCCCUUGCGGACCCCAUAUCUCUAUGAGUUUUCGGUAUAUGUCAAGCCUUGGUAAGGUUCUUCGCGUUGCGUCGAAUUAAGCCACAUGCUCCGCCGCUUGUGCGGGCCCCCGUCAAUUCCUUUGAGUUUUAGCCUUGCGGCCGUACUCCCCAGGCGGGGCACUUAAUGCGUUAGCUUCGGCACUGCAGGGGUCGAUACCCGCAACACCAAGUGCCCAACGUUUACAGCGUGGACUAC
RNAcentral lists this unclassified non-coding RNA (376 nucleotides) under uncultured Actinomycetes bacterium. RNAcentral describes it as "uncultured actinobacterium contains 16S-23S intergenic spacer region". The record is from RNAcentral. Lineage: Bacteria; Bacillati; Actinomycetota; Actinomycetes.